RNAcentral lists this ribosomal RNA (370 nucleotides) under uncultured organism. Its description in RNAcentral is "bacterial SSU rRNA". It matches the Rfam family "Bacterial small subunit ribosomal RNA", at positions 526 to 896 of the family's 1533-position model. The record is from RNAcentral.
CGUGGGGUGCAAGCGUUAAUUGGAAUUACUGGGCGUAAAGCGUGCGCAGGCGGUUUUGUAAGUCUGAUGUGAAAUCCCCGGGCUCAACCUGGGAAUUGCAUUGGAGACUGCAAGGCUAGAAUCUGGCAGAGGGGGGUAGAAUUCCACGUGUAGCAGUGAAAUGCGUAGAUAUGUGGAGGAACACCGAUGGCGAAGGCAGCCCCCUGGGUCAAGAUUGACGCUCAUGCACGAAAGCGUGGGGAGCAAACAGGAUUAGAUACCCUGGUAGUCCACGCCCUAAACGAUGUCUACUAGUUGUCGGGUCUUAAUUGACUUGGUAACGCAGCUAACGCGUGAAGUAGACCGCCUGGGGAGUACGGUCGCAAGAUUA